CGGACGGGUGAGUAACACGUGGAUAACCUGCCAUAUACAGGGGGAUACCAGUUAGAAAUAGCUGCUAAAACCGCAUAAGCGCACGGGGACGCAUGUUCCAGUGUGAAAAACUCCGGUGGUGUGAGAUGGACCCGCGUCUGAUUAGGCAGUUGGCGGGGUAACGGCCCACCAAACCGACGAUCAGUAGCCGGCCUGAGAGGGUGGACGACCACAUUGGGACUGAGACACGGCCCAAACUCCUACGGGAGGCAGCAGUGGGGAAUAUUGCACAAUGGGGGAAACCCUGAUGCAGCGACGCCGCGUGAGUGAAGAAGUAUUUCGGUAUGUAAAGCUCUAUCAGCAGGGAAGAAGUCAGACGGUACCUGAGUAAGAAGCCCCGGCUAACUACGUGCCAGCAGCCGCGGUAAUACGUAGGUGACAAGCGUUGUCCGGAUUUACUGGGUGUAAAGGGCGCGUAGGCGGACUAUCAAGUCAGUCGUGAAAUACCGGGGCUUAACCCCGGGGCUGCGAUUGAAACUGACAGCCUUGAGUAUCGGAGAGGAAAGCGGAAUUCCCAGUGUAGCGGUGAAAUGCGUAGAUAUUGGGAGGAACACCAGUGGCGAAGGCGGCUUUCUGGACGACAACUGACGCUGAGGCGCGAAAGUGUGGGGAGCAAACAGGAUUAGAUACCCUGGUAGUCCACACCGUAAACGAUGGAUACUAGGUGUAGGAGGUAUCGACUCCUUCUGUGCCGCAGUUAACACAAUAAGUAUCCCACCUGGGGAGUACGACCGCAAGGUUGAAACUCAAAGGAAUUGACGGGGGCCCGCACAAGCAGUGGAGUAUGUGGUUUAAUUCGAAGCAACGCGAAGAACCUUACCUGGGCUUGACAUCCCGCUGACCGUCUUAGAGAUAAGAUUUUCCUUCGGGACAGCGGUGACAGGUGGUGCAUGGUUGUCGUCAGCUCGUGUCGUGAGAUGUUGGGUUUAAGUCCCGCAACGAGCGCAACCCCUAUUUUCAGUAGCCAGCGGAGAAAGCCGGGCACUCUGGGAAGACUGCCGGGGAUAACCCGGAGGAAGGUGGGGAUGACGUCAAAUCAUCAUGCCCCUUAUGAUCUGGGCGACACACGUGCUACAAUGGCGUAAACAGAGGGAAGCGAGGCCGAGAGGCGGAGCGAAUCCGAAAAAUAACGUCCCAGUUCGGAUUGUAGUCUGCAACCCGACUACAUGAAGCUGGAAUCGCUAGUAAUCGCGGAUCAGAAUGCCGCGGUGAAUACGUUCCCGGGUCUUGUACACACCGCCCGUCACACCAUGGGAGUCAGAAAUGCCCGAAGUCUGUGACCGAACCGAGAGGGAGGAGCAGCCGAAGGCAGGUCUGGUGACUGGGGUGAAGUCGUAACAAGGUAG
Molecule: ribosomal RNA, 1385 nt
Filed under: uncultured bacterium
Lineage: Bacteria
Description: 16S ribosomal RNA
Rfam family: Bacterial small subunit ribosomal RNA
Source: RNAcentral